Molecule: ribosomal RNA, 380 nt
Filed under: uncultured eukaryote
Lineage: Eukaryota
Description: partial 18S ribosomal RNA
Rfam family: Eukaryotic small subunit ribosomal RNA
Source: RNAcentral
CAAUAGCGUAUAUUAAAGUUGUUGCAGUUAAAAAGCUCGUAGUUGGAUUUGUGGCGUACGGUGGGUUCCGGGCACUUGUUGUCUGAGUAACUUGCUGUUGCCAUCCUUGGGUGGAACCUGUGUGGCAUUAGGUUGUCGUGCAGGGGAUGCCCAUCAUUUACUGUGAAAAAAUUAGAGUGUUCAAAGCAGGCUUAUGCCGUUGAAUAUAUUAGCAUGGAAUAAUGGGAUAGGACUUUUUUGCUAUUUUGUUGGUUUGCGCAAAGAGGUAAUGAUUAAUAGGGACAGUUGGGGGUAUUCGUAUUCCAUUGUCAGAGGUGAAAUUCUUGGAUUUUUGGAAGACGAACUACUGCGAAAGCAUUUACCAAGGAUGUUUUCAUUAA